ACCCCGCCGAGGGAGGGAGAGAAGCGCUAGGAAAAGGAAGAGGAGAAGGAGCUCGAGCGGGAGGCAAGCGAGAGGCUCUUUUGCUCCUCCCAAAGCAGGGGGCGGCUCCACUGUGCUUCUGAUGACCCGGCCGCCGCCGCCGCCCUGCAACCGCUCCCCGGGACCCCUCAACGCUGACACUGAUGACCCGCGGCGGGGGCGCUGGGCGCGGGGUGCGCAGGCCACUGGCCGCGGGCUCUCGGGCCCGCUCCUGCCGCCGGCUUCUGCUGCUUCCGCGUGCCGUGGACACUGCCAGAAUUUGUCAAAGGUCCUAGGAAGAAAAGGCUCUUUCACCCCUCCCCUCAAUGAACAGAUGGCGUGUUUGGACUGUUCGCAUUCGCUCCUCAUAGGUGGGAUCCUGGAGGAAGUUAAGGGGUGCUCCGUUCCCUGGGGAUGGGACAGCAGCUCGCCUUUUUACUAAUAGCUAUAAGGGACUGUCAGACAUUUACCUGACUAGACCUUCACCUCAGAGCUCAGAAGGGGAACAGCUCCAGAACUAAAAGAGAGAGCCUCUGGCAGACCCCAAAAGACAGCAUGUGGAGUGAAGCUGGGCUUCCCUGCCCAAUCACUAGGAUCAUUUAUUGCACAAAUACCUGUAUUUUAAGCUGCAGAUUAUUGUGAAUUUUUGUAUUUUCUUCAUUUCCAUUUAGCUUUUUUUCAAUUUUAGAAUAGCCUUUCUCUAGAUAACUCGAGGAAGUGGGAGACGGAAUUUCCUUUGUUUCUGUCUUGAGCCCAAAGGGACAAUUGAGUGUCAGGUAUGACAGGGAUAAAGGGAGAAACUCAGAAAUAAUGCUUUUGUUUUGUUUUGUUUUGUUUUGAGAUGGAGUCUCGCUCUUGUCGCCCAGGCUGGAGUGCAAUGGCAUGAUCUUGGCUCACUGCAAACUCCACCUCCUGGGUUCAAGCGAUUCUCCUCCUCAGCCUCCCAAGUAGAUGGGCUUACAGGCAAGCGCCAUCACGCCCGGCUAAUUUUGUAUUUUUAGUAGAGAUGGGGUUUCACCAUAUUGGUCAGUCCGGUCUUGAACUCCUGACCUUGUGAUCCACCCACCUUGGCCUCUCAAAGUGCUGGGAUUACAGGCAUGAGCCACCGCACCCAGCCAGAGGAAUGUUUUGGGUGCUACACGUGCAGCCCCUCAUGACUGUAUCUCCUCAGAGCUCUUUUCUUCACAUUCCUGAGUGCUUUGUGUUUUGUUUAUUUAAGGGACAAAUGAAUCUCUUCCCACGCCAUGGGAUUUCCCUUGAUUUUUAUAUUGGGAGUGAAAAGAUGAAGCAUGAGACUCUUCAGCUGCAUCUCGAACUGCAUCUAAUCCCAGCACAUCUCUCUCAAUCUUUGAUUAAGUCUGUUCAUCUAAAAGAGAGACACAGGGGAAAAAUGGAAAUGGGACUUUGGAAGAAUGACCAUCCACAUUCCCAUCACAGCCUGAGAUUUCCUACCUGAUUGAGAUUUUCAGUAGAUGGCCCUAGGUCUAGUUUCCCACUUUGGACCUGCUGCCCUUGGCUCCAAUAGAGGACUUCCAAGUAACUAGGAAGAUUUCACCUCUCUUUUGAAACAUAAUGGACAAAUGUGUUUCUUUAGGAUGAGAGGUGCACCUGGCUAGUCAAUCUUUAUUUUCCUAAAAUAAACAGGAUGAAAACUCAAAACAAAAAGAAAUACCUCAUGGGCAAAAGCUCUCCCAAUACAACUAAUACAGACACUCAACAUGGCUUUGUAGAAACUGACCCCUCUCCCAAGUCUUAUGUUUGUCAGAAUUGCAUGCCUAUUUCAAUCGAAGAAAAGUGAUCUGAUCUCUUCAGAUGAAGGUGGGACUUGGAGAUGCUGCUGCCUAGAGUUAACUUGCCAGAGAAAGGAUAAGCAUUCGGGAAGUGCCAGGAUGGGGUAUCAGCUGAACAAUGGCAGGAUCCCUUCUGCCAGUGGGCUGGCUCAGGGAGUAAACCUCCCCGGAAGGAAUUUUGUUUCUCUCUAGAAUCAAAGUGGGCAAAAUGAUCACCUUAUUCGCCUGGAGUGAACCAGGUUGAAACUGAGAAGGCAGACAUGGGUGAUAAGCCAGAUGAAGUCAUAUGUUAUAACUAAGCUAUGUACCUGUAACUUGCCUGGUAGUUUUUUCAUUCUCUCUAAACAGGUCAUAAUAAGUGUUAGUCUGUGAUCCACUAUGGAGAGAGAUUUCUGGAAAGAAUAGAGGCAGUGGUAGAGGGUCCAAGGUUGUUAUUUAAGGAGAUGAAUGUGGGUCAGGUGCCGUGGCUCACACCUGUAAUCCCAGCAUUUUGGGAGGCAGAGGCAGGAGGAUUGCUUAAGGCCAGAGUUCAAGACCAAACUGGCCAAUAUAGUGAGAUCCCCCCCCCAUCUCUACAAAAGAUAGAAAAACUUAGCCAGGCAUGGUGGCAGGUGCUAUAGUCCCUGCCACCAUGGGACUACAGCUCCUGCAGUCCCAGCUACUCAGGAGUUGAGGCGGAAGGAUUGCUUGAGCCCAGAAGUUCGAGGUUGCAGUGAGCCAUGAUCAUGCCACUGCACUCCUCCGUGGGUGACAGAGCGAGACCUGACUCAAUAAUAAUAAUAUUAAUAAUAAUGAUAAUGCAACACAAACUAUCUUUUACCUCUUGAACAAUGAAUGCAGAUGCCAUGACUACAUCUGUUUGUUGGGGACCAGGGAGGCUGCCAGUGAGGAUUCAGGGUGGAAGUAGUGUGUACCCAAUACCUAUUGUGAGAUGUGGCCUGGGGAGCCCUGAGAUUGCCUGGCCAGGCUCACUCACUACCCAGACACCCUCUUCCUGCAUGGCGAGUCCCUCAGCCCCUCCAAGGCUCAAUUCUCAGACAUCGGAGUAAUCCACAUCCUCCAUCUUGAGUUACUCCUCACAAGGCCUGCAAGUUUUCCUAGGAGGAAGGGAAGACAGGGUUGAACCCACACAAUUCUAGAAUCUAGAAUUUGGAGGAUUUCUAAACCAUUUCUGUAAGUCAGCCCUUGAGAACUUGUAGAUUUUCUCAUCAUUUGCAGCAUGAGAGUCUGGAGUAGACUGUUUGGAUUUGACUCUUGGUUCCUUGGGCAAGUUACUUAACCUCUCAGCUGUGUGUCAGUUUCCUUAUCUAAAAAGUGUGGUUAAUAAUAACUGACCUCUCAGAGGUAUUGUGAGGUUACUGUGAUGAUUAAAUUAGUUGAUUCAUAUAAAAUGUUUAAAAGAGUGCCUGGCAUUAUUAUUAAUAGUAAUAAGUUUAGCAUAAGUCUUGCCUGCCAAUAAGGAGCUGGAUUGAAUGACUACUUUGAUUCUAUUUCUUGGCCUUCUCUUCUCUGGACUAGGUGACCCCAACUUUCUCCUUACUCCUGAAAAAUUUAUCCCAGUCUGCUAAGGAAGAGAAAGCCCAUGUGUGCACAUACACACAUGCACCUACACAAACAUUUACAUACAGUUUUGCUCUUCUAUACAGAGUUAAUAGAGCUACUAGAGUGUCUAGGAACCAAUCUGAAAGAGAAAGGAAACACUGCUUUUUUUUUGUUUGUUUUUUGAGAUGGAGUCUCACUCUGUCACCAGGCUGGAGUGCAGUGGCGCAAUUGUGGCUCACUGCAAACUCCACUUCCCUAGUUCAAAUGAUUCUCCUGCCUCAGCCUCCCGAGUAGCUGGGACUACAGGCGUGCAUCACCACACCCAGCUAAUUUUUGUAUUUUUAGUAGAGAUGGGGUUUCACCAUGUUGGCUAGGAUGGUCUUGAUCUCUUGACCUCGUGAUCUGCCUGCCUCAGCCUCUCAAAGAGCUGGGAUUACAGGCAUGAGUCACCACGCCCGGCCGAAACACUGCUUAUUACAAUUUAUAGGUUUAUGUUCAAAAAGUUGCUAAUCUUAUUGCUGUGAACCCCUGCCAUCUCUAGUCCUGCCCACCUAUAGGUACUGCAGACCAAAUUACAGAUUCAGAUUUGCCCAGUUCCUGUUCCUGUCUUGACCAAUCCUAGUAACUUAUUUGGGGCCCAGCCCCAUCUUCAGUGGAAGGUCUAAAAUUGGCCUUGCUUCCUUAAGCUGGGUACACAGUGGGCCCAGGACUAAGCCUCAUGAAGCUUUUAGAGGCCCACUGAGAUUAACCUUUCUCACCAGUGCUCACCUUGUCUUCCUAGUGACCAUGGCUGCCUUCUGUCUAGUUCUAGAGUUGCACUCUAAUUCUCUUCCAGCGCUGUUGCCCUGAUCUACAUAUCUAUCUCUUUUAGAACUUUCCAGCUUAUGUGUCCAAUGUCAGUCUUUCUUCCAAAUAAAUAGAACUUUAUCUUGAUGAAUAUUUAAUGUUCAACCCACCCCUGGUCCCUGGCUAGAAUCAUCUCUGAAAUGUCUAAAGCUCUGCCACUACCUGCACCAGGAGAAGCAAUGUGUCACCACCAACCUAAUAGCAACCAUCAGCUUUGCUGGAGUUAUCCAUUCACCGAACUGAAUCUAUCAGCUUUCCUGAGUUCACUGGGACACUGAUUUGGACCGGACACCAUCACUUGAGAAACAGCGUUAGCACCAGGGUGAACACCACCAGUACCCGACCUGCCUGUAGUUAGCUUCCUCCUCUUUCCCUAUUGACCCACAGAUUAAGUUGCUGCAUGCCCUGGGGCAACACCUGGGGGUAUGACAACUGAAAACUAAGA
Molecule: long non-coding RNA, 4641 nt
Organism: Homo sapiens (human)
Lineage: Eukaryota; Metazoa; Chordata; Mammalia; Primates; Hominidae
Product: long intergenic non-protein coding RNA 900
Source: Ensembl